UGGGGCGUCGCCAAGUGGUAAGGCUACGGGCUUUGAACCCGUCAGACGGAGGUUCGAUUCCUUCCGUCCCA
RNAcentral lists this transfer RNA (71 nucleotides) under Vicia sativa (common vetch). RNAcentral's name for it is "tRNA-Gln". It matches the Rfam family "tRNA". From Rfam's summary of the family: Transfer RNA (tRNA) molecules are approximately 80 nucleotides in length. Their secondary structure includes four short double-helical elements and three loops (D, anti-codon, and T loops). Further hydrogen bonds mediate the characteristic L-shaped molecular structure. tRNAs have two regions of fundamental functional importance: the anti-codon, which is responsible for specific mRNA codon recognition, and the 3' end, to which the tRNAs corresponding amino acid is attached (by aminoacyl-tRNA synthetases). tRNAs cope with the degeneracy of the genetic code in two manners: having more than one tRNA (with a specific anti-codon) for a particular amino acid; and 'wobble' base-pairing, i.e. permitting non-standard base-pairing at the 3rd anti-codon position. Lineage: Eukaryota; Viridiplantae; Streptophyta; Magnoliopsida; Fabales; Fabaceae. The record is from RNAcentral.